GCAAUUUUCAGUGUUCUUUGUAGGAAAAGCUUGUUGAAGUUCAAUUACCCUUUUGAGUCCAAAUUCCAUAUUAAACUGUCACCAGAGAAGCUUUUAGAUAAAAAUCUGUGGCUGAGUAUUUUCCCUAGAGCUGGGUAAAUAUUUCUGUUAGCCAAGUAACUGAGCCCUUUUUCAGUUCACAGACUAUCUGUGCAGAGGUUGCAAGUUUCUCAUGUUUUGGGGUCACUGUUUAGAUUAGCUUUAUGCUGUUGUUUCUACUCUCAAAUGGAACAGUGAAAAACAAGGGGUCUGAAACAUCAGUGUGUAAUUUUGGUGGAAGGAGUUUAACUGUUUGUCCAAGAGGACACGCAGGGAUUUGGCUGGGACGGACUAACACGAAGGCAACAAGCAAAAGGUAUUUUCUCUUGAGUCUGGAAUUUUCUUUGUGAGAAGAAGCUGCAAGAGAUGCUCCCUCCCUUUUAGCAUUGCUGCUGAAUAAGAAAUAAACUUUGGUAAAAUUGUUAGUUAAAUGAAGGAACCAUUUUAUGCAUGCAGUCCCCAGAGGUCUUGUGGGAACUGUUGUGCUUUUCUUGCCUUAAUUUCAGUGUUGUUAUUUGGGUAGUGGUUAAUGUACUUAUCUCCAAGCAGUUUAGUGUCUUCUAGUUACCAUAUAUUAUUGCUAAAUGCCUUAUCUUCCUUUCUUAGAGAAACUGAGGGUUUUUCUUACUGCAAAGCUCUUACCAAAGUUCAGGUAACACAGUCUCAAUUUUUUUGUCUUGGUUUGGUGUUUUUUCCCAAAUAUUUUCCCAAAUAUUUUCCCCCACAUGUCUGCUGGCACAAGAGUCCAUGUGAGCUCUCCCUCACCAGUGUCAAACAUGGACCCUCCAGGAUCUCCCAUCGCUCCUGUCCCCUCCCAGCUCCUGCUUCAGGAGAAAGAUAAUUUGCGGAGUGAUGCCUGACCCAGCUAAGGUCUUUGUGGGUCCAUCAGAGCCACGGCCAGCCACCACAGCUGUACCCACUGGAAGGUGACAUGCAGCACCAGCCCUGUGGGAUAGUGUGUGGCACCUUCGGGAACCUGUGACCGCGGCAUUUGCUCCUAAGAUGAUUUCCUCUGGCUCAUAAGAAAGGAAGGGAUGCCCUCAUCCUGAUAAAUGAAGGACAAAAAGUGACUGAAUCAGACAGCAGCGUGGAGAGGGAAGGGGACAGCCCUGGCUGUGUGUCCCUGUUUCCAGGGCAAGGUGGCAGCUCAGCGUGGCGUUAGCAGCGCACGAGGCUGCGUGCUCAGUAUUCGCCCUGGCACACAAAGUGAGUGAAUUCCAGUCUGAACCUCUUCCCAGAAUGCCUCAAAUAUGGUUUGGGUCUGGUAUUGAGCAGAAGAAACGUGGACAGACAACUUCCCAUCCUGACCCCCUGAUUUAUUCUGAUUCUUUUCACUGGGGACAUGGGGCAUAUUAAAAAUAGGGGCCAUUGCUGACAGAUAACUGUGGCACGUGGAGCACAGGGACUGCUGUUUCCCAGAACUGCCUGUCAUCUGUAUUCUCUUUGUGCCGUUGCUGUAUAUGGCUUCAUUACUAAGUGGCUGACCUGCACCGAGCGGCUUGUCAGAAGCAGAGGUUUCAGCUUGAUGGUUGCUGGCUCCAAAACAUUACCUGGUGACUGGCUGGGAGAAAGGCAAGCUGCAAACGCAGCCCUCGGAAAUCCUCCUUCUUAUUCUGGGGGCAUGUAGCAGAGUGGCUACAAACUUUUCUCUCUUGAUGCUUGAGAGUGACAAAUGGUGGCUGUUUCUUUUGAAUGUGCAAUUAUUGAUGCGCUGGCUGGCUGUUAGGUUUCCCCAGCAAAUGGAUGGGACGUUAUUGCGGUUUGUUUUAAAGGUUUAAUUUUUAAUAGAAAUUUGCCACUUCGUGCCAUCAUAUUGAUUUUAAGAACAGCCCAUUGUGACAGACCUGCAUAUAUUUUAAAAUAAUUAUUCUACUAAAGACCCUUGCUUUCCUUCUG
Molecule: non-coding RNA, 1974 nt
Organism: Phalacrocorax carbo (great cormorant)
Lineage: Eukaryota; Metazoa; Chordata; Aves; Suliformes; Phalacrocoracidae
Source: RefSeq, a predicted model, not a curated record